Lacerta agilis (Sand lizard) is the source of this 367-nucleotide long non-coding RNA. RefSeq lists it as uncharacterized. The transcript is spliced from 2 exons. NCBI's taxonomy places the organism in Eukaryota, Metazoa, Chordata, Lepidosauria, Squamata, Lacertidae. The record is from RefSeq and is a predicted model, not a curated record.
GGAGGAGGAAGGGCAGCCUUUGCCAGCAUUGCCCUCUUUUAAGAAUAAAAACUACAUAUGUGCUGCUAUGAUAAGAGUGAUAUAGCAGACAGUUGUCCUUGGGGAGUGGAGUUCGACCCACCUAAUACAUCUCACAAAGGCCGACAAACAUCUUCAGAUCUCAGUAACUCCCCAUCAUAACUUAGCUGCACUAGAUUUGAACUGACAACUUUGAAGAAGGAUUCUCCAUAUCCAAUUACCCAGGUCCCUGAUGAGCUCCAUGUUUAUCUGAAAGCUUUGCCUUCUGAAGGAUUUCUUCCCUCCCAACUUCAGCUGGGUUGCAGCUUGCCUGCACUCCCUUCUAUCAAAUAAAACUUUUAUUCCAUUA